Capsicum annuum is the source of this 107-nucleotide non-coding RNA. Lineage: Eukaryota; Viridiplantae; Streptophyta; Magnoliopsida; Solanales; Solanaceae. The record is from Rfam.
UGCUGAUGAUGUGGACAGUCCCAAACAAGAGCUUUGAACCUCUCCCAUGCAUGAUAUAAGUUCUCAUCUGGUCUCUAUUUGAAACUUAAAAUCUCACUGCACAGUCU